GAGUUUGAUCCUGGCUCAGAUUGAACGCUGGCGGCAUGCUUUACACAUGCAAGUCGAGCGGCAGCGCGGGGGCAACCCUGGCGGCGAGCGGCGAACGGGUGAGUAAUGCAUCGGAACGUGUCCCGUGGUGGGGGAUAACCCAGCGAAAGCUGGGCUAAUACCGCAUAUGCUCUGCGGAGGAAAGUGGGGGACCUGAAAGGGCCUCACGCCAUGGGAGCGGCCGAUGUCCGAUUAGCUUGUUGGUGGGGUAAUGGCUUACCAAGGCGACGAUCGGUAGCUGGUCUGAGAGGAUGAUCAGCCACACUGGGACUGAGACACGGCCCAGACUCCUACGGGAGGCAGCAGUGGGGAAUUUUGGACAAUGGGGGCAACCCUGAUCCAGCCAUGCCGCGUGCGGGAAGAAGGCCUCGGUUGUAA
Molecule: ribosomal RNA, 417 nt
Filed under: uncultured beta proteobacterium
Lineage: Bacteria; Pseudomonadati; Pseudomonadota; Betaproteobacteria
Description: bacterial SSU rRNA
Rfam family: Bacterial small subunit ribosomal RNA
Source: RNAcentral